UGGNGAAGAGACGAUGCUACAGCGGAGGC
RNAcentral lists this non-coding RNA (29 nucleotides) under Mus musculus (house mouse). Lineage: Eukaryota; Metazoa; Chordata; Mammalia; Rodentia; Muridae. The record is from RNAcentral.